RNAcentral lists this transfer RNA (73 nucleotides) under Anguilla anguilla (European eel). RNAcentral's name for it is "tRNA-OTHER". The record is from RNAcentral. Lineage: Eukaryota; Metazoa; Chordata; Actinopteri; Anguilliformes; Anguillidae.
GGCAUGAUGGUGCAAUGGGUAGCAAUGUUGCCUCACAGCCAGAAGGUCCUGGGUUUGAAUCCCGGCCUGGGCC